RNAcentral lists this unclassified non-coding RNA (227 nucleotides) under Hevea brasiliensis (rubber tree). Lineage: Eukaryota; Viridiplantae; Streptophyta; Magnoliopsida; Malpighiales; Euphorbiaceae. The record is from RNAcentral.
ACAGCCUCAUCUACAUUUUUCUGGAUCAAUUUGAACAUUCCAGAAUCAAUAACCUUCAAGUAAUCUUAGUAGAUGCAUAUAAAAAAAAUAUCCAAUUGAGAGAAGCAAAACCUGCACUAAAAUGUGUCUAAUUUAAUCAACUGGUUCACUAUGACAUGAGUUGUUCUUCUUUCUGAUAACAUAUACCUGUAUUUUGACUGUACUUAUUAUACACACGUUGGUUGCUG